UAUAAUUGUCAGCUGGGACACAAUGUAACUCUGAAGUCUGGACUGCAAACAACUGAGAUGAGCCAUUCUGCCAACUGGACGAACGGUUUAGAUUUUAAUGGAAAAGAGAUUGCCAGUUUUCAGAACUCUGUUGUCAGAUAUGGAGAUGGCUUCAACAAUUUCUUUCUCAAUAAAACCAACUUAGAUCUGACCAUUAUUCAAGUAACUAAUAACCAAAGUGGAUUUUACUGCUCCGAAAUUAAAUGGAAUCAGUGUCAUCAUAUUAGUCUAAAACAUCAGGUCAAAGUUUAUGAUCCUGUCUCUACGCCCAACAUCACCAACGUGCCUCAACCAGCCCGCAGGUUUUGUGCUGCAAAGUGUUCUGUGAAGAAUGGACCUGACCUAAACCUGACCUGGUACUAUGGAGACAUCAUUAUCAGCAACAUCAGCAACCCAAAAAUCUCCAUCCUCACUUUGCAGAUAGAGAUCCAGAGGGAGGAUAUUUCAAACUACAGCUGUCGGGCACAAAACCCUGUUAGUUUGGAGAUGACACCUCUAAGCUCAGUAUGGCAUCCAUGUCAUUCCUCAACUACUUCUGCAGGUAGGAAUCAUUACAUCUUUAUCGGCCUACUAGGCUUUAUGGUUUUGGUGCUUGGUGCUGGAUG
Long non-coding RNA from Cyprinodon variegatus (sheepshead minnow), 644 nucleotides. RefSeq lists it as uncharacterized. The transcript has 3 exons. The record is from RefSeq and is a predicted model, not a curated record. Lineage: Eukaryota; Metazoa; Chordata; Actinopteri; Cyprinodontiformes; Cyprinodontidae.